Molecule: ribosomal RNA, 424 nt
Filed under: Verrucomicrobiota bacterium
Lineage: Bacteria; Pseudomonadati; Verrucomicrobiota
Description: Verrucomicrobia bacterium partial 16S ribosomal RNA
Rfam family: Bacterial small subunit ribosomal RNA
Source: RNAcentral
UGAGGAAUAUUGGUCAAUGGACGCAAGUCUGAACCAGCCAAGUAGCGUGCAGGAUGACGGCCCUAUGGGUUGUAAACUGCUUUUAUAUGGGGAUAAAGUGGGGAACGUGUUCCCUUUUGCAGGUACCAUAUGAAUAAGGACCGGCUAAUUCCGUGCCAGCAGCCGCGGUAAUACGGAAGGUUCGGGCGUUAUCCGGAUUUAUUGGGUUUAAAGGGAGCGUAGGCCGUUUGGUAAGCGUGUUGUGAAAUGUAGGAGCUCAACUUCUAGAUUGCAGCGCGAACUGUCAGACUGGAGUGCGCACAACGUAGGCGGAAUUCAUGGUGUAGCGAUGAAAUGCUUAGAUAUCAUGAAGAACUCCGAUUGCGAAGGCAGCUUACGGGAGCGCAACUGACGCUGAAGCUCGAAGGUGCGGGUAUCGAACAGG